UGGGGAAUUUUGGACAAUGGGGGAAACCCUGAUCCAGCCAUCCCGCGUGUGCGAUGAAGGCCUUCGGGUUGUAAAGCACUUUUGGCAGGAAAGAAACGUCAUGGGUUAAUACCCCGUGAAACUGACGGUACCUGCAGAAUAAGCACCGGCUAACUACGUGCCAGCAGCCGCGGUAAUACGUAGGGUGCAAGCGUUAAUCGGAAUUACUGGGCGUAAAGCGUGCGCAGGCGGUUCGGAAAGAAAGAUGUGAAAUCCCAGAGCUCAACUUUGGAACUGCAUUUUUAACUACCGGGCUAGAGUGUGUCAGAGGGAGGUGGAAUUCCGCGUGUAGCAGUGAAAUGCGUAGAUAUGCGGAGGAACACCGAUGGCGAAGGCAGCCUCCUGGUAUAACACUGACGCUCAUGCACGAAAGCGUGGGGAGCAAACAGG
RNAcentral lists this ribosomal RNA (429 nucleotides) under Acidobacteriota bacterium. RNAcentral's name for it is "Acidobacteria bacterium partial 16S ribosomal RNA". It matches the Rfam family "Bacterial small subunit ribosomal RNA", at positions 355 to 776 of the family's 1533-position model. Lineage: Bacteria; Pseudomonadati; Acidobacteriota. The record is from RNAcentral.